Long non-coding RNA from Gadus chalcogrammus (walleye pollock), 937 nucleotides. RefSeq lists it as uncharacterized. The transcript has 3 exons. Lineage: Eukaryota; Metazoa; Chordata; Actinopteri; Gadiformes; Gadidae. The record is from RefSeq and is a predicted model, not a curated record.
AUGAAGGGACAGGGAGCUGGGUAAAGGGAAGGGUGUUGACUGGAUCUAAAUAUGUCCGCUGCCCCGGUGUGGGAUUAACUGUCCUCUGGGGAUCAUAGUUGUUUACAAGGAUGGAUAAGAUGUGUAAACAGGGGAAAGAAAAACCAAACAAAAACCCUUCUGGUAUGUUCUGUUGGGUCUGACAAUCAACUUGGGACACCUAUGACUGAGUUUUCAGAAGCCCAGCUUGCCAAUAAAGGAGAUGCUGGUAGGGAGACCGGUUGUUGACGAUUGCGGCGGAACCUACCGGAAUACACAGGGACCAAAGAUGGUGGCCAAGUUCUCCAUUGGCAUCUGAUUUGAUUGGCUGUGAGACGCCACUCUGGAAAGGAAGUGGAUGAGUACCUGCGAAGCCCGACAGAAGCUGCCUGCGGUGGGCCUCCGGGACCAGGGGGAUGGGGAGCUCCCGGAAGAACAGCUUGAGCAGCGAGGCCACUGUGGGCACGUCCGAGUCCUGCUGCAUGUCCACCGCCUCCCCCCUGUCCCACUGCAGCCUCAGCUGUCUGGUCUGGACCACCGAGCCGGACAUGCGGAAUAUACCCUUAUGACGCACUCCUAAAGGAAGGAGAUAAAUAAAAUGUUCAUAUACACUCCUGACAAAUAAAAGUUCAAAAUAGAGUUCAAAAGAGUUCAAAAUACCUGUUUUGUCCAGGAACUCCACCAUGCGCCUCAACACAAGAGGCACUCCAUCGACCAGCUGUCCAUCUUCCCUUAGCGUUUCCACGGCGACACCAAAUACAGGCCUGGCUUCACACUGCGGCUGGUGCAGAGCAGCAGCGGACUGAGGGCAGAUCUUAGCCGUGCUUCUCCGGAUUCGUACAGAGCUUAAGUCGGUCUUCACACACGAAAAAAACACCAGGGGAAAUUCUCUGUCACUGAGACAAGGUCAAGUUGUUUG